AUGAUGAGGGAGGGUGAUGCAUGUGUUGCACUUCUGAGAAGCAAGCUCCAUGGCCUGAUCGAGAGGAACCACACACUGGAAGAGGAGAACAAGCAACUGAGGCAUCAAGUCAGCCGUCUAAAAGGCCAAGUCUCCUCACUUGAAGGGCAGGAUACUGAUAGAAAGAUAAUGUGGAAGAAGCCAGAGAAUUCUGCCACCAGCAACAAUUACUUCAAGGAAAAACAGUUUGUUCACAACAAUGAUGAUGUGAAGGAAGCCAUGGAUCUCAACAGCUCGGCAUGUUACAGCAGGCAGCAAUUUUCUAGGACACCGUCAGUGAAAUCAAGAGCACCAAGAGUUCCAAAUCCACCACCAAGUCCGACGUGCAUCCAACCGAUCAUCAAGGCAAAAAAGGAAGGAUCCAUGGGUCCUCCUCCUCCACCGCCACCUCCCCUACCUUCCAAAUUACUGAAGAGCACCAAGGGAGUCCAAAGGGUGCCAGAGGUAGUUGAGUUGUACCGGUUGUUAGUACGAAGAGAAGGCAAAAGCGAUGCGAAGUCUGGAUCUGUGGGAAUUCCAGUAGCUACUAACAGCCGAGACAUGAUCGGGGAGAUAGAGAACAGAUCAGCUUAUGUUAUAGCUAUUAAAUCAGAUGUAGAAAAUCAGGGCGAAUUCAUUAGCUUCCUGGCAAGGGAAGUUCAGAAUGCAGCAUACAAGGAAAUAGCCGAUGUUGAAGAGUUUGUGAAGUGGCUAGAUGGGGAACUAUCAUACCUGAUAGACGAACGGGCAGUGCUCAAGCACUUCCCUAACUGGCCUGAGAAGAAAGCAGAUGCCAUGAGAGAAGCAGCAUUCACCUACCGGGAUCUGAAGAACCUGGAAGCAGAAGCAUCAUCAUUUCACGACGACAGGAGAGUGGCUACACCUAUGGCUUUGAAGCGCAUGCAAGCUCUACAGGAUAAAAUUGAACAAGGUAUUCACAAUACUGAAAAAAUAAGGGACAGUGCAAGUGGAAGAUACAAGGAUCUCAUGAUCCCAUGGGAUUGGAUGCUUGAUUCUGGAAUCAUAAGCCAACUAAAGGCCGCUUCAUUGAAGCUUGCAAAAGAAUACAUGAACCGCAUUAUGAAUGCACUGAAGUCAGAUCCAUUUGUAAAUGAUGAGGAACUGCUCCUGCAAGGUGUCCGCUUUGCCUUCCGAAUACAUCAGCUUGCGGGUGGCUUUGAUGAAGGUUGCCGGAAAGCAUUCCAAGAACUCAAGACGUACACAAGCAAGUCAGAGUGA
Molecule: ribosomal RNA, 1257 nt
Filed under: Triticum aestivum (bread wheat)
Lineage: Eukaryota; Viridiplantae; Streptophyta; Magnoliopsida; Poales; Poaceae
Description: partial small subunit ribosomal RNA
Source: RNAcentral